Molecule: long non-coding RNA, 953 nt
Filed under: Homo sapiens (human)
Lineage: Eukaryota; Metazoa; Chordata; Mammalia; Primates; Hominidae
Description: HSALNT0380838
Source: RNAcentral
CCACAACAAAAGACUGAUCACUGGAUGAUAAAUAUUAGCCAAUAAAUUUUAAUAUUACCCUAAGUAAGGAAACAAAAGUGAGCAUAUAUGCAAAGAUCAGUGACAUGCUGCAACUCUUUAAAUUAUUUUUCCAGUAAAGAACUCUGAAAUUUUGUAAUAGGGGUAAGAAGGUAAUCUACAACACCAAAUAGAUUUUAUAUACUCAUAUGGAUGGAAGGAACCUGGAAAAGUUAUCUACACCUUCCUUGUUUCCAGAUAAGAUUAUGUAAGUCUUAUGUAACAGAAAGAAAAGCUAUUUUUGCUAACUGUUAAGAGUUCUGGCAAAAGCAAAUAUUGUAAGCCCCUCUUCAUCAGCCUCUAAGAUGGUCAAUGAUCUUCACAUCCCUGUGUGGGCCUCUCCCAUAGUCAAUGAAGUCGAUAUGUGUAAACAAUAGGACAUGACAGAAAUGUCUGUGAGAUUUCCAAGGCUAGGUCACAAAAGGCAUUGCUACUUCUGUCCUCAUCUCUUUUGAAUCACUUGCUCUGGGGAAAGCCAAAUGACACGUCUUGAGGAAACCCAAGCAGUCCUAUGAAGAGGCUCAUGUGGUCUUCUUCCAAGAAACCCUCCCUCACCACCAGAACCACCAAUGCACAUCAGGCCUGCCUGGCUUCAGUUCUCAUCAUACUGAUUAUUUCUUGUUUGUAGCAAUUAUUAUAUUGAGGAUUAGUCAACUAUCUCUGCCAAUCUCCACUAAACUCACACAUCAGCUCCUAUGAUUAAAAUCCAACCUGCUCAUUGAAGCUGCUUCUUCAGCUCUUGCCUGGAGUAAACAGAAGCCAGAGGGGGCCUGAAAACAGUCCCAAAGAUGCCAUCAGAGUCAGCCUCCAAGGAAGAACCCUGACCACUGACACAGUGUAUCCUAAUGAAAUGGGGAAAAAUGCAAAAAACUUUCCACCACUGCUUGGCAGAAUAA